UUUGCAUGGUAUCGAGAUGGCGACAUCUUCCCAUUGGAUGUGGACAAUCGAUCGUUGUUCUCUCUCCCAUUUUGAUUGGUAGUGCAAGGCUGUGGGGAGGUAUCAUAACUGUUGCUGGGUGAUGGGGACAUUCCGGAGUGCUGGGUCUGCGUGGAAGCUGUGGCUGUAGAGGAAGAUGCUGGAACAUUGUUGGUACUGUUCCCAUAUGAGCUUCCCCCGUAGCUGGACCUCCUUCCAAACUUAUCACUAUGCUCUUGAUCAAGACGGUCCAAAGUUUCUAAUGCAUGGAGAAUUUCAUGUUUGGUCAUCCCAGUACGCCGAAGACGUUGGAGCAGAUCUAUCUGUUCUAUGCAAAACUGACAAAGAACUCUAAGGUCAUUCAGUGAAGACUGUUUGGCUUGGCUGAGUCUAAGCGAAUGCUAGUAACUAUACAAAUACUUCAGUGGAGGAUAAGAGCAGUACCUACAACACACCAAGCACUGCUUCUACUUCUUACAAGUCUUGAGAGCCUCAUCUCUGCAGCAUGCUCGCUGAAUGGAUCCCUCAUGUGUACAGCCAACUGGAGCUAUUCAUAUCUUGAAAACUGGUUCUACAUGUUUCCACCUUAACUAGCACAAGACACUGUAGCACACCAGAAUGUUUUCUCAGAGAGAAACUUAGUAUUUUAAGACAUUAACCACAUCAUAAAAACACCCCCUCCCUCUUUGAAUUACUUUUUUAUUUAUAAAAGCUGACUUUAAAAAAGA
This is a long non-coding RNA of Peromyscus eremicus (cactus mouse), 746 nucleotides long. RefSeq lists it as uncharacterized. The record is from RefSeq and is a predicted model, not a curated record. NCBI's taxonomy places the organism in Eukaryota, Metazoa, Chordata, Mammalia, Rodentia, Cricetidae. The transcript is spliced from 2 exons.